UCUGUAGGCUCCUCAAUAAGUCUGGUGUUAAAGCGCAGAGCUCAACUCUGCGUCUGUACUGGAAACUGUUGAGGUAGAACAAUUCAGGGGCAUCUGGAAUGCUGUGUGUAGGGGUUAAAUCCGUUGAUACACAGUGGAACGCUAAAAGCGAAAGCAGGAUGCUGGGAAUUCGUUGACGCUGAGAGACGAAAGCGUGGGUAGCGAACAGGAUUAGAUACCCUGGUAGUCC
This 229-nucleotide ribosomal RNA is filed under the name uncultured bacterium. Its description in RNAcentral is "partial 16S ribosomal RNA". It matches the Rfam family "Bacterial small subunit ribosomal RNA", at positions 568 to 796 of the family's 1533-position model. The record is from RNAcentral.